This 83-nucleotide transfer RNA is filed under the name Promethearchaeum syntrophicum. RNAcentral describes it as "tRNA-Ser (CGA) (tRNA-Ser-CGA-1-1)". It matches the Rfam family "tRNA". From Rfam's summary of the family: Transfer RNA (tRNA) molecules are approximately 80 nucleotides in length. Their secondary structure includes four short double-helical elements and three loops (D, anti-codon, and T loops). Further hydrogen bonds mediate the characteristic L-shaped molecular structure. tRNAs have two regions of fundamental functional importance: the anti-codon, which is responsible for specific mRNA codon recognition, and the 3' end, to which the tRNAs corresponding amino acid is attached (by aminoacyl-tRNA synthetases). tRNAs cope with the degeneracy of the genetic code in two manners: having more than one tRNA (with a specific anti-codon) for a particular amino acid; and 'wobble' base-pairing, i.e. permitting non-standard base-pairing at the 3rd anti-codon position. Lineage: Archaea; Promethearchaeati; Promethearchaeota; Promethearchaeia; Promethearchaeales; Promethearchaeaceae. The record is from Rfam by way of RNAcentral.
GCAUGUGUAGCCAAGUGGUCGACGGCGCCGGAUUCGAAAUCCGGUGAGCAUUGCUCUCGUGGGUUCAAAUCCCCCCACAUGCG